RNAcentral lists this ribosomal RNA (253 nucleotides) under uncultured bacterium. RNAcentral describes it as "partial 16S ribosomal RNA". It matches the Rfam family "Bacterial small subunit ribosomal RNA", at positions 524 to 776 of the family's 1533-position model. The record is from RNAcentral.
UACGGAGGGGACUAGCGUUGUUCGGAAUUACUGGGCGUAAAGCGCACGUAGGCGGAUUUGUAAGUCAGGGGUGAAAUCCCGAGGCUCAACCUCGGAACUGCCUUUGAUACUGCAAAUCUCGAGUCCGGAAGAGGUGAGUGGAAUUCCUAGUGUAGAGGUGAAAUUCGUAGAUAUUAGGAAGAACACCAGUGGCGAAGGCGGCUCGCUGGUCCGGUACUGACGCUGAGGUGCGAAAGCGUGGGGAGCAAACAGG